CAAAACUGUAGUUCAAUACUACUCACCUUUUUGAGGUGUUCUUUGCUGUCUUGUCAGAUGGUUUUUGAAAAAAUACAGAUGAAAUAUUUUUCGUAGAUACUUUUCUCAGUCGUAGGAAUUAUAAAUGCUGUUGACAGCCUAUUUUGUAGGAAAUUGUACUUCAAUUCGGUUUUUGUUUCGUAAUGCUUCUUUUCACUCAGUUCUUCAAGUCAGAAUGCAGCUUGAAAGGCAGAAGAAGAAAAAAUCUGUAUGCUUGCAUUUUUAAUUCACUGUUAAGAUAUCCUGUUAAAAUAUUCUCCUUUAAAUAUACAUAUUUGUGUGUGCAUUUGAAAUGCAAGCAGCAUCAGUUCCAUCAGCUAGAAAGCCUCUUCAUAGCACUUUUAUAAAACAUUGCUUGAGAAUGUUACGUAUUCCUUUUGCAUGUUUCUGUAGUUUUCCAAGUUAAAAAUGACUCCACUGAGCUCAUCUUCUCUGCGGUUGUAUUUUACGUGUGUGUGUGUGUGUGUGUGUGUGUACGCGCUCUGCGUGGUAGUUCAGUUAUGCUCUGGAGUAUGUGUUGGAAAUGCCAGCCUGACAUAUUGCUAAUGAGUGUGCAUAUUGACAGUGACGGGGGCGUGUGUCUGUCUGUGUGCCAUAUAUUAAAACAAAAAGAGGAGGGAGACGGAGACAGAGAAAGACAGAGACACAGAAGGAAAUAUUGGGAUGGGAAAGAACAGUUUAUUUACAUUACGUGAGCUGUGCUUGCAGACGUUGCAUGACUGUGCCCUGCUGGAGCUGCCCAGUGGCAUCCUUCCUCUGCUCUGCUUGUCGCCGCUGAAGCAGCAGUGCCAUGGGGACGCUGAACCUGGGAGCAGCUGCCUGAGACAAACCCUCAUGCAGGGAUAUCAGCAGAAGCACAUGGAGGCACAUCAGUAA
RNAcentral lists this long non-coding RNA (915 nucleotides) under Coturnix japonica (Japanese quail). RNAcentral's name for it is "lncRNA (ENSCJPG00005005067.1)". Lineage: Eukaryota; Metazoa; Chordata; Aves; Galliformes; Phasianidae. The record is from RNAcentral.